Molecule: long non-coding RNA, 1267 nt
Filed under: Anser cygnoides (Swan goose)
Lineage: Eukaryota; Metazoa; Chordata; Aves; Anseriformes; Anatidae
Description: lncRNA (ENSACDG00005009497.1)
Source: RNAcentral
AAGACGCCCUGGAUUUAAAGACGUGCUAUCCCACCAGCUCCUGUAGGAGCUCAGCACCGCGUUUGGCCUGUUGCGAUCUUCCCGCUCCCCUCAUUUCUGUGCUGCAACGCCACCAUGCACGAGAAGUCAGGAUUCACUUGGCAGGGAAGACAACCAUGGAAUCCAAGGGCUGUGGACAACCAUCUACCAGAUGGUUGUUGAAGAUGCCUUCGGUCACGUCAUUUGUCCUUUUAGCUCGCCCUUUCCUUUAUCUUGAGUUGAAUUUUUGUGCAGCGCUAUGUUUGCAGUGGUAACACUGCUGCUGAGGUGUUUUCGAUUAAAAACGAUCUUAACUGUAAUAGUGAAUUCACUGAGUGUGGCUUUGUAUAACGACUUCCACGACCAUAACAUUUUUCUCCUUUGUCACAGAUAGGAGGAAAACUCUUUAGAGAGAGAUGGAGAAGGAAUUAAUUAUACCUCUGCCUCAUCCCAUGAGACCAGAAGACGUGUAGUAACUGUAAGCUGCGAUUCUCAGGAGACAUACUAAGCAUCUCUGGUUCCUUCUCGGCCUGCCCCCCUAAGGCCUUAGGGAUGAGAAAUCUUAGGCUUAAUGUUUUUCCCUAUGAAAUACUGUCGUGUUAAGGGGCGUAGCUGACUAACUGUUACGGGUCUGGUCGGAUUCGGGGUACUGAACUACCACGGUCACGGAUUCACCAAUAACGUAGCACACCCUCGCUCUAGUUGUGUUCAAUGAGAACUGUCACGGCUAGGAACAAUGCAACGAAGGGCAGUUUAUUACAGCAACAGGGACACAGGUUCUUUGGAAUUGCCGGCGAUAAAUUCACUGUCCGCAAAAGCAAGCGAGCACGCAUGAAAUACACGGCAUCCCAGUGCGGGGGGAAGAGAGGCUCAGCCCGUCGACUGAUCCCGGAAGUCAGAAAGGAGGCAGCUGUUCCCCAGGGCAUGGAUGCUGAGACAGACGGACAGACCUGCUCGAUGCUUGAGUCCCGCAGCCCCCCAGGGGAAGGGGAGAAUGUCUGGGCAGGGAGUUCUGCCGCAGUCUCCCUCACAGGAGUCCUGCGUAAGAGUUUAAUAAAGUUUGCUUUCUGGCUUGUGCUGCCCUCUGUGUUUGUGGACACUGUAAGUGGCCGUGGCUGUGCUGCUGGGUGCAGGUUCCUGGGUGUGGAGGGGGCAGAGGCUGGGGUGUUGGCCCUGUGUUUAUUGUCCAUGGGGGAGCCAAUGGACACAGACAAGCGAUCUGGGUGUGGGGGCAACCCUGCUGGGGAGG